AAGUCGAACGAACCUUCGGGUUAGUGGCGGACGGGUGAGUAACGCGUGAGAAUCUGCCCUCAGGAGGGGGAUAACGGUUGGAAACGACCGCUAAUACCCCAUAUGCCUAUUGGUGAAAUGAAUUUCGCCUGAGGAUGAGCUCGCGUCUGAUUAGCUAGUUGGUGAGGUAAUGGCUCACCAAGGCUUCGAUCAGUAGCUGGUCUGAGAGGAUGAUCAGCCACACUGGGACUGAGACACGGCCCAGACUCCUACGGGAGGCAGCAGUGGGGAAUUUUCCGCAAUGGGCGAAAGCCUGACGGAGCAACGCCGCGUGAGGGACGAAGGCCUCUGGGCUGUAAACCUCUUUUCUCAAGGAAGAAGAUAUGACGGUACUUGAGGAAUAAGCCACGGCUAAUUCCGUGCCAGCAGCCGCGGUAAUACGGGAGUGGCAAGCGUUAUCCGGAAUUAUUGGGCGUAAAGCGUCCGCAGGCGGCUUUUCAAGUCUGCUGUUAAAAAGUGGAGCUUAACUCCAUCAUGGCAGUGGAAACUGAAAGGCUUGAGUAUGGUAGGGGCAGAGGGAAUUCCCGGUGUAGCGGUGAAAUGCGUAGAUAUCGGGAAGAACACCAGUGGCGAAGGCGCUCUGCUGGGCCAUUACUGACGCUCAUGGACGAAAGCCAGGGGAGCGAAAGGGAUUAGAUACCCCUGUAGUCCUGGCCGUAAACGAUGAACACUAGGUGUCGGGGGAAUCGACCCCUUCGGUGUCGUAGCUAACGCGUUAAGUGUUCCGCCUGGGGAGUACGCACGCAAGUGUGAAACUCAAAGGAAUUGACGGGGGCCCGCACAAGCGGUGGAGUAUGUGGUUUAAUUCGAUGCAACGCGAGAAUCCUUACCAGGGUUUGACAUCCUGCGAACCUCUUAGAAUUUGAGGUGCCUUCGGGAAUGCAGUGACAGGGUUGCAUGCUGUCGUCAGCUCGUGUCGUGAGAUGUUGGGUUAAGUCCCGCAAACGAGCGCAACCCACGUUUUUAGUUGCCAGCAUUAAGUGGACCACUCUAGAAAGACGGCGUGAAUAACCGGAUGAGGGGGAUGACGUCAGUCUUCAUGCCCUUACCUGGCCUACACGAUACUACAUGCUACGCAAGGCAGGCAUUUCGGAGUCUACAAUCCAAUAUCGGGUCAUUCGAAUCGUAGC
Molecule: ribosomal RNA, 1169 nt
Filed under: uncultured Prochlorococcus sp.
Lineage: Bacteria; Bacillati; Cyanobacteriota; Cyanophyceae; Synechococcales; Prochlorococcaceae
Description: bacterial SSU rRNA
Rfam family: Bacterial small subunit ribosomal RNA
Source: RNAcentral